AGAGUUUGAUCUUGGCUCAGGAUGAACGCUGGCGGCGUGCCUAAUACAUGCAAGUCGAACGCUUCACUUCGGUGAAGAGUGGCGAACGGGUGAGUAAUACAUAAGUAACCUGGCAUCUACAGGGGGGAUAACUGAUGGAAACGUCAGCUAAGACCGCAUAGGUGUAGAGAUCGCAUGAACUCUAUAUGAAAAGUGCUACGGGACUGGGAGAUGAUGGACUUAUGGCGCAUUAGCUUGUUGGUAGGGUAACGGCCUACCAAGGCGACGAUGCGUAGCCGACCUGAGAGGGUGACCGGCCACACUGGGACUGAGACACGGCCCAGACUCCUACGGGAGGCAGCAGUAGGGAAUUUUCGGCAAUGGGGGAAACCCUGACCGAGCAACGCCGCGUGAAGGAAGAAGUAAUUCGUUAUGUAAACUUCUGUCAUAGAGGAAGAACGGUGGAUAUAGGGAAUGAUAUCCAAGUGACGGUACUCUAUAAGAAAGCCACGGCUAACUACGUGCCAGCAGCCGCGGUAAUACGUAGGUGGCGAGCGUUAUCCGGAAUUAUUGGGCGUAAAGAGGGAGCAGGCGGCACUAAGGGUCUGUGGUGAAAGAUCGAAGCUUAACUUCGGUAAGCCAUGGAAACCGUAGAGCUAGAGUGUGUGAGAGGAUCGUGGAAUUCCAUGUGUAGCGGUGAAAUGCGUAGAUAUAUGGAGGAACACCAGUGGCGAAGGCGACGAUCUGGCGCAUAACUGACGCUCAGUCCCGAAAGCGUGGUGAGCAAAGAGGAUUAGAUACCCUAGUAGUCCACGCCGUAAACC
Molecule: ribosomal RNA, 803 nt
Filed under: uncultured bacterium
Lineage: Bacteria
Description: bacterial SSU rRNA
Rfam family: Bacterial small subunit ribosomal RNA
Source: RNAcentral